AUAUUCUGAAAUUUUUCUGUUCGAGCUGAAAAAGAAUCUCAGUAGAAUCACUGUUGUAAUACAGCAAGGUAAGUAAUUUUAAAAAAUCAUUUUCAAGUAUUUCGAAAAUCGUUUUUAAUUCGUUUUUCAUUUUUCUAGUUCCCGCGGAUACAGGAAGUCGUGACAAAACAAAUUAUUGAAUGAAAAUCAUUAGAUGAAUUAUCUAUGAAAGCAGCAUCCGUUUAGCAAACAUUUCUCAUGGAUACAGAGUCGUGACGAAAUGGAUGAGGAAUAUCAGAAGGAUCACUUUCUAUGAAAAGCAUCAUCUGUUUUGCAGGUCGAUUUUGUACAGAACGUGAAGACUGGCAUUAAUCUGCAGCACCCGAAGUUUAUUUAAAUAUUAUUCUACCAGUUUGCAGUCUCGCAGUUCGGGAGAGAGGAAAACUAUCAAAAAUUUCUUUGAAUUCGAUUGUUAUGAGCUUUGAUAUGUCAAAUUUUUGUUGGUGAGAAAAAGGAGAGAUACGGUAAGAGGGAGCUGGGUGAUGUCAGAGCUCAAAAUUUUGGAUUCAGGAUAUAUUUAAUAGCAAUGCUUACAUUUUGUGUAUUUCGCAAAGUAUUUUGCAGUAACGAAAUGAAUUGUUUGUCAGGUCUCAUAUCCAACCAGGACGUUUAAUCGGACCAGCAGUUCAGGUGUUGUCACAUUUUUUUUUUAUUUCGUUAGUUAAUAAGGGAUCCCAUGAUUAAAUUAAAAUGAUGAUCUUGAUCAAUGUGUUAAAAUUUGUAUUGACCAUCAAUGACAAUUUUUAAUUAGUAUUUUUAUAUCAUUAAUGAUUCCAAUAUUUUGCUGCUUUGACAUCUGCGCCGUAUAUACAACAACAUUUGACAUAUCAGACGUAAUUUCUUUUACUUUGUUUUAAC
Styela clava is the source of this 897-nucleotide non-coding RNA. The record is from RefSeq and is a predicted model, not a curated record. NCBI's taxonomy places the organism in Eukaryota, Metazoa, Chordata, Ascidiacea, Stolidobranchia, Styelidae.